CGUUCCCGGGCCUUGUACACACCGCCCGUCACACCACGAAAGUCGGCAAUACCCGAAGCCGGUGGCCUAACCCUUCUGGGAGGGAGCCGUCGAAGGUAGGGUCGAUGAUUGGGGUG
This 116-nucleotide ribosomal RNA is filed under the name uncultured bacterium. RNAcentral describes it as "partial 16S ribosomal RNA". It matches the Rfam family "Bacterial small subunit ribosomal RNA", at positions 1369 to 1482 of the family's 1533-position model. The record is from RNAcentral.